RNAcentral lists this ribosomal RNA (325 nucleotides) under uncultured soil bacterium. RNAcentral's name for it is "bacterial SSU rRNA". It matches the Rfam family "Bacterial small subunit ribosomal RNA", at positions 26 to 354 of the family's 1533-position model. The record is from RNAcentral.
AGAUUGAACGCUGGCGGCAGGCCUAACACAUGCAAGUCGAGCGGUAGAGAGGUGCUUGCACCUCUUGAGAGCGGCGGACGGGUGAGUAAUGCCUAGGAAUCUGCCUAGUGGUGGGGGAUAACGUUCGGAAACGGACGCUAAUACCGCAUACGUCCUACGGGAGAAAGCGGGGGACCUUCGGGCCUCGCGCCAUUAGAUGAGCCUAGGUCGGAUUAGCUAGUUGGUGAGGUAAUGGCUCACCAAGGCGACGAUCCGUAACUGGUCUGAGAGGAUGAUCAGUCACACUGGAACUGAGACACGGUCCAGACUCCUACGGGAGCAGCAG